ACGACGCUGGCGGCGUGCCUAAUACAUGCAAGUCGAACGGUCUUUCUAUGGAAGCUUGCUUCCGCUGAGAAGAUAGUGGCGGACGGGUGAGUAACACGUGGGUAACCUGCCCAUAAGAGGGGGAUAACAUCCGGAAACGGGUGCUAAUACCGCAUAGUUUUUUGAUCGCAUGAUCGAGAAAGGAAAGACGGCCUUUGUGCUGUCGCUUAUGGAUGGACCCGCGGCGUAUUAGUUAGUUGGUGAGGUAAUGGCUCACCAAGACGAUGAUACGUAGCCGACCUGAGAGGGUGAUCGGCCACAUUGGGACUGAGACACGGCCCAAACUCCUACGGGAGGCAGCAGUAGGGAAUCUUCCGCAAUGGACGAAAGUCUGACGGAGCAACGCCGCGUGAGUGAAGAAGGUUUUCGGAUCGUAAAACUCUGUUGUCAGAGAAGAACAAGUUGGAGAGUAACUGCUCCAGCCUUGACGGUAUCUGACCAGAAAGCCACGGCUAACUACGUG
This 502-nucleotide ribosomal RNA is filed under the name uncultured bacterium. RNAcentral describes it as "bacterial SSU rRNA". It matches the Rfam family "Bacterial small subunit ribosomal RNA", at positions 32 to 507 of the family's 1533-position model. The record is from RNAcentral.